GGCCAUAUGAGCAGAAGCUGCACUUCUCAAAGCAAGGACAACUCUUCUUCGAGAUCAAGGGAAGGGAAAUCCAAAUACGGGCCAUGGUUACAUGCUUCUCCAGUUAACAAUGUUAGUUCACCCUUGAUCUCAGAGGUGACGAUUAAUCCCAAAUCCAUAGAAAAUCAAACCUUAGCUUCUGUCCCCUUUAAUUUGGAAAUUUCUAACCUGCAAGAUCAUUAAUCAGAGGUUCCUUCAUCGCAAGCAAAUC
This 250-nucleotide long non-coding RNA is filed under the name Manihot esculenta (cassava). RNAcentral's name for it is "long non-coding RNA (MESC_LNC003986)". Lineage: Eukaryota; Viridiplantae; Streptophyta; Magnoliopsida; Malpighiales; Euphorbiaceae. The record is from RNAcentral.